This 636-nucleotide ribosomal RNA is filed under the name Salmonella enterica subsp. enterica serovar Singapore. RNAcentral describes it as "partial 23S ribosomal RNA". It matches the Rfam family "Bacterial large subunit ribosomal RNA", at positions 2234 to 2864 of the family's 2925-position model. Lineage: Bacteria; Pseudomonadati; Pseudomonadota; Gammaproteobacteria; Enterobacterales; Enterobacteriaceae. The record is from RNAcentral.
CGUAAUCCGGGUUGCGGACAGUGUCUGGUGGGUAGUUUGACUGGGGCGGUCUCCUCCUAAAGAGUAACGGAGGAGCACGAAGGUUGGCUAAUCCUGGUCGGACAUCAGGAGGUUAGUGCAAUGGCAUAAGCCAGCUUGACUGCGAGCGUGACGGCGCGAGCAGGUGCGAAAGCAGGUCAUAGUGAUCCGGUGGUUCUGAAUGGAAGGGCCAUCGCUCAACGGAUAAAAGGUACUCCGGGGAUAACAGGCUGAUACCGCCCAAGAGUUCAUAUCGACGGCGGUGUUUGGCACCUCGAUGUCGGCUCAUCACAUCCUGGGGCUGAAGUAGGUCCCAAGGGUAUGGCUGUUCGCCAUUUAAAGUGGUACGCGAGCUGGGUUUAGAACGUCGUGAGACAGUUCGGUCCCUAUCUGCCGUGGGCGCUGGAGAACUGAGGGGGGCUGCUCCUAGUACGAGAGGACCGGAGUGGACGCAUCACUGGUGUUCGGGUUGUCAUGCCAAUGGCACUGCCCGGUAGCUAAAUGCGGAAGAGAUAAGUGCUGAAAGCAUCUAAGCACGAAACUUGCCCCGAGAUGAGUUCUCCCUGAGACUUAGAGUCUCCUGAAGGAACGUUGAAGACGACGACGUUGAUAGGCCGG